UACAGAGGUCCCAAGCGUUGUUCGGAUUCAUUGGGCGUAAAGGGUGCGUAGGCGGCGCGGUAAGUCGGGUGUGAAAUCUCGGAGCUUAACUCCGAAACUGCAUUCGAUACUGCCGUGCUUGAGGACUGGAGAGGAGACUGGAAUUUACGGUGUAGCGGUGAAAUGCGUAGAUAUCGUAAGGAAGACCAGUGGCGAAGGCGGGUCUCUGGACAGUUCCUGACGCUGAGGCCCGAAGGCCAGGGGAGCAAACGGG
Molecule: ribosomal RNA, 253 nt
Filed under: uncultured bacterium
Lineage: Bacteria
Description: partial 16S ribosomal RNA
Rfam family: Bacterial small subunit ribosomal RNA
Source: RNAcentral